Molecule: ribosomal RNA, 254 nt
Filed under: uncultured bacterium
Lineage: Bacteria
Description: partial 16S ribosomal RNA
Rfam family: Bacterial small subunit ribosomal RNA
Source: RNAcentral
UACGUAGGGGGCAAGCGUUGUCCGGAUUUAUUGGGCGUAAAGAGCUCGUAGGCGGUUUGGUAAGUCUGGUGUGAAAUCUCCACGCUCAACGUGGAGGGGCCACCCGAUACUGCCAUGACUGGAGUCCGGUAGAGGAGUGUGGAAUUCCUGGUGUAGCGGUGAAAUGCGCAGAUAUCAGGAAGAACACCCGUGGCGAAGGCGGCUCUCUGGAACGCAACUGACGCUGAGACGCGAAAGCGUGGGGAGCAAACAGG